Molecule: ribosomal RNA, 258 nt
Filed under: uncultured bacterium
Lineage: Bacteria
Description: partial 16S ribosomal RNA
Rfam family: Bacterial small subunit ribosomal RNA
Source: RNAcentral
CUUGCUAAGGCCGAUGGCGACCGGCGCACGGGUGAGUAACGCGUAUCCAACCUGCCGAUAACUCGGGGAUAGCCUUUCGAAAGAAAGAUUAAUAUCCGAUAGUAUAUUAAAACCGCAUGGUUUUACUAUUAAAGAAUUUCGGUUAUCGAUGGGGAUGCGUUCCAUUAGUUUGUUGGCGGGGUAACGGCCCACCAAGACUACGAUGGAUAGGGGUUCUGAGAGGAAGGUCCCCCACAUUGGAACUGAGACACGGUCCAA